Molecule: long non-coding RNA, 1303 nt
Filed under: Nicotiana tabacum (common tobacco)
Lineage: Eukaryota; Viridiplantae; Streptophyta; Magnoliopsida; Solanales; Solanaceae
Description: long non-coding RNA (NTAB_LNC016021)
Source: RNAcentral
AAUUAUAAGCAUUAGAGUAUAUUUUGAUUGAUUUGCGCAUUGUUUGACUUAUUUCAGAAUAUUUGGCUUUGAGUCGAGGUGGUAGAGAGUCAUUGGAGCCGGUUAUGGAACUUCAGAGGAGGUAAGUCUCCUUUCUAACUUUGUGAGGGAAAAAUUACCACGUAGGUGAUAUUCUUGUUGUAUGCUACAUGUUGUGGGAGUUGCGCACGUAUGAGGUGACGAGUGUCCGUGCGCAUGCUAGAAUUCCUGAGUAUGUCCGAGUAGACUAGGAUUCACACCAUGCUUUAUUUUAACUGGUUGAGUUAUUAUUGCCUGCUUAGUUACUUGAUUUCGCGUUACGACCUUAAACUAGGCUUGCUUAGAGUGAUAGACACGCUAUUGUAGAGGUUUGACGAGCUACUUGAUUAGCCGCAAAAUAAUUGUGCUUCCCUUACGAAUUUCUCCCGCGUUGUGCGUUUUCAUCAAGCUUCCUUAAAUUUCAUAUUCACAUGUAUAUUUAUGAGUGGGGUCAAGGACCCGUUAAAGUAUCAUAUUCUUAUGGGAUCGGGUCGUUCGCCUCGGCAGUAUCAUAUUCUUGUGGGAUCGGGUCGUUCGCCUCGGCAGUAUCAUAUUCUAAUGGGAACGAGCCAUUCGCCUCGGCAGUAUUAUAUUCUUAUGGGAUUGGGCCAUUCACCUUGGCAUUUCUAUGAAAUACUUUUAUGGGAUCAGGUCGUUCGCCUCGGCAACUUCAUGAAACAUUCUAAUGGGAUCAGGUCGUUCGCCUGCGUAAUAUUUGAGAAGAAGCCAGUGUAUCCGUAAGUUUUCCUGAUUUGAGUUGUGACGACCUAUUUGGUGGGGACCAUAUAUAUAUAUAUAUAUAUAUAUAUAUAUAUACAUACACACACACACACACACACAUACACACACACACUCUCUCUCUGGGGUAGGAGGUAAAUGAUAAUUGAGAUCUUGUGUUUACUGUUUAGAGGAGGAUCGUACCGUUUAAUUGAAUUUUCCUGAUUUGUUUACAAUAUUUAUUUAUCAUGCCUCAUACUUGUUUACUUUCUACUAUACUUAAUUUAUCGAACCACUAGUAAGUGUCGAUGUCGACCCCUCGUCACUACUUUUCUGGGGUUAGGCAAGAUACUUACUGGGUACGCGUUGAUUUACGUACUCAUGCUAUACUUCUACACUUAUUGUACAGGUAUAUAUUUCUGGUGGUUUUUUGGGCGCAAAUGCAUAGCUAUUACGGGGACUUUACGGUGAGUUGCAUUCCAUGUUACGACCCGCAACAUACAUAGUUUCCAUCAUUAUUUAUCCUGUC